This 547-nucleotide ribosomal RNA is filed under the name Desulfovibrio sp. enrichment culture clone C6. RNAcentral describes it as "bacterial SSU rRNA". It matches the Rfam family "Bacterial small subunit ribosomal RNA", at positions 28 to 556 of the family's 1533-position model. Lineage: Bacteria; Pseudomonadati; Thermodesulfobacteriota; Desulfovibrionia; Desulfovibrionales; Desulfovibrionaceae. The record is from RNAcentral.
AUUGAACGCUGGAGUGUGCUUAACACAUGCAAGUCGUGCGAGAAAGGGACUUCGGUCCUGAGUAGAGCGGCGCACGGGUGAGUAACGCGUGGGUAAUCUCCCUUGGUGAUCGGGAUAACAGCGGGAAACUGCUGCUAAUACCGGAUAAUCUUCAUGUUUAACUUCAUGGGGUAAAGGUGGCCUCUGCUUGCAAACUACCACAUCAAGAUGAGCCCGCGUCUCAUUAGCUAGUUGGUAGGGUAAUGGCCUACCAAGGCUACGAUGAGUAGCUGGUCUGAGAGGAUGACCAGCCACACUGGGACUGGAACACGGCCCAGACUCCUACGGGAGGCAGCAGUGGGGAAUAUUGCGCAAUGGGCGAAAGCCUGACGCAGCGACGCCUCGUGAGGGAUGAAGGUCUUCGGAUCGUAAACCUCUGUCAAGAGGGAAGAAACCCUUGGAUUCGAAUAGGGUCCUUGGCUGACGGUACCUCAAAAGGAAGCACCGGCUAACUCCGUGCCAGCAGCCGCGGUAAUACGGAGGGUGCAAGCGUUAAUCGGAAUCACUG